Molecule: long non-coding RNA, 3506 nt
Filed under: Sus scrofa (pig)
Lineage: Eukaryota; Metazoa; Chordata; Mammalia; Artiodactyla; Suidae
Description: lncRNA (ENSSSCG00005023188.1)
Source: RNAcentral
CCUGCACCAAAUUCUUUUGGGCUCCAAAGAGGAAGAGGUCUGAGACUCUCUCAGUCUAGAGAGAACCGCUUCAUUCACUCCAGACUCAGAAAAGACCCCAGAAAAAUGCAGUGAUGAAUAAAAGUUGCAAACCAUUACACUGAUGCCCAACCCCAGGACACUAAACUGGGAGCAUUAUACCUGACGCCUCUGUGGGGAGGCUCAACCCUUCAUUCUCCUCCUUAUGCCACAGGUCCUGGCUUCUUAAGGACCGAAAUUUCCCUGCUUAGCACAGGAAGAAAGAAUAUAUAUACUGACAACUGGGUCCCUUUGCGAUACAGGAAACUGGCGCAACACUGUAAAUCAACUAUACUUUAAUUUUAAAAAAGCUUUUAAAAUCAACCCACCCCCACAUCUUAGAUUUUCUAUACUAGUUUAUAUCUAUGCUGAUAUCAAGUAUCCUGUCCUAGAAGCAGCUUCUGAAGGAUAUUUUGAGGCUUGUUCACCAGCACCACUCUCCCUCGGGGGCUCCUGGUGGGGUAAAGACCCCUCUAGAUGACUCCAGAUCCGAUUCCCCUCACAGAGAGUAAAACCAGGAAUGAGAGUUUUGCCAGCCCUUGGAAUUGGGAGGGGGGAGGGGAUGAGAAAGAGAAAUAACAGCCUUUCUUUAGUGUUAAGGUGCAAAACCCCCAAAUGCCUUAUGCUGUUGUUUCUGGCACUUUAAGCUAUUAUGACUCUGAAGAAAACCCCAUAACCAAAUUUCCCAAGCAUUCCGCUCUGUCUGAAAUGGAUGUAAGACCCUCAGAAGUGAGGGAGAGGGGUGAACGCCGCUGGCCUGGGCAGCCAGACGCUCGGUACCUCGCAGAAAGCAGCCUGCCUGCCAGAAAGGAACGUCAAGGACAGGUGACACGGCUGCUGCCACAGAUGCUCUGGGGGCAAAAGCAGGCUUCCUCGGGGGAGCUGGUGCCGUUUUAAAGGCAGGCAGACUGGAGCUCAUUAGGGCACAACGGUGGGUGUCUCAGAUGGCCUGCCCACGGCUGCCAUCCAGCAGGUCCGGCUUUGUGGAUGCCACGUACAGGCCCCCAGGCACCAAGGGAAACCUGGGGCGGUCGUUCUUCUCUCCUUGGAAAUGCACUCCAGCGACUGCAGUGCCAAUGGCCCGUGCUCCCAGCAAUGCCCGUCAAAGACUUCUGACCCUGGGAGCUGGUUCCCAGCCAGUCCUAACCGGCUCUGAACCAUGAGCACCAGAGGGAGGUUAAGGCGGACAGGGCCAGGACGCCUUUCUAGGAGUCAGAAGGGGUGCGAUUCCAAGCAACCCACAUCAGCUGCCAUUUUGGAAGCCUUGGCUCCUCGUGCGGAUUCAACUAGACAAAGGGGACAGCCAAGGUCAUGACUGUCACGGUCUGGGAGCCCCACGCCAAGGACAGGGAGGCCAGAGCGCCAGGCCGGGAGCAGCCGCUGCCUUGCUGUGACAUCUUGAGCAACGGGCUUCGUCUCUGCCACUGCGGAAUUUCCUCAUCUCAAGAAUACGGAAGUUGGACAGAUGGUCUCCAGGGUGGCUUUGUGUUUCGAAUAUAUGGGAUAAUACUCGAUGGUUCUGGAUGUUUGCCUGUCUGUUUUACGGAAGUGCCAUUUUUAUAGGAGGGAAAAAGUCACAUUCAAGUGUAGACUCGUGAUGCAGAGGCAUCGGACGGUCCUGGAACGCUGCCCGGGCCCCAGACACCUGGGCUUCUGCCUCAACCCCUCGGAGCUCCGUGCCUCCGCCUCUCAGCAUGGGGAGUUCUGGUGAGUGCCUCUGUCCUGAUGGCCUGUGUCUGCCCCUCCCCGGUCACCCCCAGAGCCACACAUGGUCACACUCUAUCUUGCCUAGAACCAGACAUUCACCUGGCAUCCUGAGAUUCCCUGUGUCUGAAGUUAGAAUUCGCCCUGCACCAAAGGCAGGCUCCAGCAGGAUUGUUCUGGACCUGCUGGCAGAACAAUCAGCGCCACUGCUUACUGCACACACUGCACCCCAGAUAGAGCCCGCCGCAGCUUGGGUACAUCUGGCCAAUGGCCAACAACCCCCACACCUCAAUCCUGCCAAGAGCUUCACCGGGCUGCACCCUGCUCCCCGAAUGCCCCUCAGUGUCCAUCUUUUUGCUAAUCCCGUCUUCCCACAAACCUUCCUGCCACCACCCACAGCCAGGGCCAGGCCCACUGGACCCCCAGUGCUCUGCAGCUGGCUCCUGGGCAGCUCUAACGGUCAGAACUGGAUUGGUUGGUCUGGGUUUCUUUAUAACAGUCAUUCUCCAAGUGUGGUCGUUGCACCAGCAACCCCGGUGUCCUCUGGGAGCUGGUUAGAAACACAGAGCCCCAAGGCCCCAACCCCUCCCCGCGAGCCAGGCUCUACAUUAUAACGGCCCCUGGCAAUUCAGAUGCACCUGAAGCUCUGAGCAGCCCAGCUUUCCUAGGUCCCCUGGCCCGCCAGCGCUUGCUCCAGGACGAUGAGCCCAUCUCUCCUCCCGGUAGGGUUCAGGCCUCCACCGGCAGCCAUGCCCAAACCAGAGAUGCUGCUUUUGACUCAGCCAGUGGGACAGAGGAGGGUUUGGUGAAGAGACAGAAGAGCUUCUCCGUGGACCCUGGGCCUUCCCCAGCUGUCCAGAACCUCAAGAGAGUGGUUCACAAAAAUCCUGGCUGCUCAGAGGUCCCUCUUUCCAAAGAAGCAGGGAGUCUGACUUUGAGGGGCAGAGAGGUUGGCAAAAUAAGUCUCUUCGCUCCCUAAGUCUCAGGAGAGACUCCAUCACCUUGAUGGCGGCCACUGCUGCCACCACCAAACUGGACACACGCAUCCAGCCCAGCCUGGAACCACGGGGCAGAUACUGGAUCCACUGGGCAGGUGCCUUCAGGGGAGCUGUGUCCCCCAAUGGGCUUUCACCCAACAGUGUCCCAGCUGGAACUGGGCCACGGUGCAGAAGGUGGGGUGGGCAGAAGCCAAGGUCCGGGCUGGGGAGAAAGGGAGAGGCAGGGUCUGGACCACAAUCUACACAACAGAAAACUCCGUGUCACCGCUCCGUUUCCCGGUCCCUCCACAAACGUCCCCUCUGCCACCUUAUCCCCGCCCCCUCCCUUCCUGCUUUCUCCAACACCGCUCACAUCGUCUCUUCUCCCUUUCCCCCCGGGCCCCCUGAAAGAUGCCCCCGACACACCAGGCCUCGCAGGCUCAGCUGGAGCCCCCCUCUCGGAGGGCGCUCAGAGCUGCCUCUUUACCACGGUGAAGCCACUUUAGAAGCCUGCAGGGGAGAAGCGAGCAGAACAGACCUGGGCCGGCGAGCAGGUGCUUACCCCCGGAGAAGAGCUCAUCUUCUGAGAGGGCUGUGAACUCAGAGAGCCAGGGAUUCCGCCUCAAGUCCCCGGGGUUGCUGGCCAGGCCCCUGCCAGCUUCCUCUCCAUGCCCCCUUGCGGGAAAUGAGGCCCAGGCGAGCUGCCACCCUGGGGUCAGGGCCCCAGGCACCCCGGAGGAUGUUCUGUGGCUUUUCACGUCGCUGUUC